Molecule: ribosomal RNA, 492 nt
Filed under: uncultured bacterium
Lineage: Bacteria
Description: partial 16S ribosomal RNA
Rfam family: Bacterial small subunit ribosomal RNA
Source: RNAcentral
AGUGAACGCUGGCGGUAGGCCUAACACAUGCAAGUCGAACGGCAGCACAGUAAGAGCUUGCUCUUACGGGUGGCGAGUGGCGGACGGGUGAGGAAUACAUCGGAAUCUACUUUUUCGUGGGGGAUAACGUAGGGAAACUUACGCUAAUACCGCAUACGACCUACGGGUGAAAGCAGGGGAUCUUCGGACCUUGCGCGAUUGAAUGAGCCGAUGCCGGAUUAGCUAGUUGGCGGGGUAAAGGCCCACCAAGGCGACGAUACGUAGCUGGUCUGAGAGGAUGAUCGGCCACACUGGAACUGAGACACGGUCCAGACUCCUACGGGAGGCAGCAGUAGGGAAUAUUCCGCAAUGGGCGCAAGCCUGACGGAGCCACGCCGCGUGAGUGAUGAAGGUCUUCGGAUCGUAAAACUCUGUUAUUAGGGAAGAACAUCUGUGUAAGUAACUGUCCACAUCCUGACGGUACCUAAUCAGAAAGCACCGGCUAACUUCGUG